RNAcentral lists this ribosomal RNA (254 nucleotides) under uncultured bacterium. Its description in RNAcentral is "partial 16S ribosomal RNA". It matches the Rfam family "Bacterial small subunit ribosomal RNA", at positions 524 to 776 of the family's 1533-position model. The record is from RNAcentral.
UACAGAGGCGGCAAGCGUUGUUCGGAAUUAUUGGGCGUAAAGAGCACGUAGGCGGCUCUGUAAGUCAGCUGUGAAAGCCUUCUGCUUAACGGAAGAACAGCAGUUGAAACUACAGGGCUUGAGUGCGGGAGGGGAGAGUGGAACUUCUGGUGGAGCGGUGAAAUGCGUAGAUAUCAGAAGGAACGCCGGCGGCGAAAGCGGCUCUCUGGUCCGCAACUGACGCUGAGUGUGCGAAAGCUAGGGGAGCAAACGGG